UCUGGAUCGCUGCCGAGAACUUGGACUGCUUGCUCUUUGGUCUUCACCGCGGCAUCCACUGUAGUAAGAAGUGGCCCAGUUUGGUGUCUUGUCAUCCUGUUGUCCUGUACUUUAGCGCUUUACGAAAGUGUAAGAGCUUGUGACUUAUUCCUGCAAGUGGAAAGAAAUAAUUGAGAAUGAUUUGGCGUCUCAGUGCGUCAGUCCCCACCCUACACUUCCGCUGUCCAAUACUGGGAAUGGACCGCAGGGCCUAAGGCUGGAUGCAGUGACACACACCUAUAAGCCCAGCACUCCAGAAGCUGAACCAGGAGGAUUGCUGUGAGUGUGAGGCCAGCCUGGGCCACAGAAUGAGUUCAAAACCAGCCUGAACUGCAUAUUGAAAUCCUGGUUCAAAAAAGAUUAAAAAAUCAGGGCAGCCAAGGACACAUGAAGUGAGUUCCAGCACAUCAGUGCUUGCCCCAGUAGAGCUUUGGACCAUCACCCACAGUGGUUAGGAGACCUCCCAGCUUCCUGGAACACCAGAGGUGUCAUGGGAAUCCUGUGGGCCUAACUGGACCAUGCUCAGCAACCUCCAUUCAGUUCUUGUAGGAGCCGAUUUCCAUCACACCCAAGGGAAGCUUUGGAACAUCACUUGAAACACAAAAAUAUAGGAAAAUGAAAGACAAAAGACUAAAUGCAAUCUCAAAACUCCAGCCCAUCCCAAGAAAGCCUAGGAGCCAUGUAUAUAGAACAAAAUGUGUGCCACAUACCUGAAAUACAUAAAAUAUUAGCAACUGAAAUAAAGAAGCAACUCUGGGAAGCUUUAAAGGAAUUCAAAUUAGAAAUAAUCUCCCAGGUCAAAGAAGAAAUGAUAAAAGUAAUGAAAGAGAUGCUGAACACAUCUAAACAAGACACUGUUAAAAAAUUAGAGGAACAAAACAAAAAGAUAGAAUCCCUGGAUGAACAAUACAAGAAACAAACAGAAUACAUGAAGCAUAUUCAAAGAAAUAUACAGGAAAUCAAAGAUUCCAUUGAAAGCUGUCAAAACUGCCUCAAUGAAAGUGAAGAUAGAAUUUCAGACCUCGAGGACAAGAUUGCAGUUAGUGAACAGGAAAGGAAAGAUCUCUUAAAAAUAAUGAGGAAUCGGAAAAUAACAAUUCAAUGGCUGAAAGAUGAUUCAAAGAAAAACAAUAUAAGAUUAAUAGGGAUAAAAGAAAAGGGGAUAGCACAAAUGAUAUCAAGAGACUAUUUACAAAAGUAAUAGCUGAAAAUUUCUGAAACAUGAGAAUGGAAACUGACAUUAGGAUUAGUGAAGCAUACAGAACUCCAAAUAGCCACAACUAAAAUAAAACUACACUCAGACAUAUAAUAAUCACCUUCCGAAAAAUCAAACAUUAGAAUAUUAAAAGUUGUUAGAAAGAAAAGACAGAUCACCUAUAAAAGAAAGCCUAUCAGAAUCACCACAGACUUCUCAACACAAACAAUGAAAUCAAGAAGAGCAUGGAGGGAAGUAUUUCAGAUCCUAAAGGAAAACAACUUCCAACCUAGACUGAUGUACCCUGAAAAACUGUACUUCAAAAUAGAUGGAGAAAUAAGAUACUUCCAUGACAAAGAACAGCUGCAGAACAGGGUUGCACGCCAACCCUGCAAAGAAUACUGAAAGACAGUUUAGAUACACAUAGGAAAAAACCACUAAGGAAGGCAGACAAACAGAAUGGAAAGAUAAAGAUAGAUAGAUUCCUAGAAAACUCAACUACCAAAGCUGGGUCAAGAAGAUGUAAAACUCCUGAGUAACCCAAUUUCUAUUAAAGAAAUUGAAAAUGUAAUUAAGUCCUUACCUACAAAGAAGAGCCCAGGCCCAGACGGAUUCCCUGUGGAAGUCUACAAGAAAUACAAAUACAAGAAGACUUACUGCCGACACUCCUCAAACUCUUCAAUGAAAUUGAAAGGGAAGCAAUUCUUCCUAAGUCAUUCCUGGAAGCAAAUAUUACUCUAGUGCCAAACCUGAGAAAGACUCGACUAACAAAGAGAACUACAGGCCAGUCUCCCUAAUGAACAUAGAUGCAAAAAUCCUCAAUAAAAAUUGGCAAACAGGAUGCAGCAACUCAUCAAGAAGAUUAUACACUACAACCAAGUGGGGUUCAUCCCAGGUGUGCAAAGAUGAUUCAACAUAUGUAAAUCAGUAAAUGUAAUCCACCAUAUCAAUAAAGGCAAAGGUGAAAAAUCACAUGAUCAUUUCUAUAGAUGCAGAAAAAGGUUUUGACAGGGUCCAACAAUCAUUCAUGAUAAGAAACUUACAGAAAAUUGGAAUAGAUGGUCUUUACCUCAAUACGAUAAAGACCAUCUAUGAUAAACCAACAGCCAGCAUCAUAUUAAAUGGCCAAAACCUGAAGGCCUUUACCUUAAAAUUAGGCACAAGACAAGGAUGUCCCUUAUCACUGCUUCUAUUCAACAUAGUACUGGAAAUACUAGCCAGAGUAAUUAGACAAAAGAGAGAAAUAAAAGGGGUAAAGAUAGAAAAAGAGGAAGUUAAAUUAUCAUUAUUUGCAGAUGACAUGACACGUUAUGGAUUAAGAACUGGUGGUCAACUUAAUGCCAGCUGGAUUACAUCAGCAUGGCAUUGAGCGAAGAUGCUCUACCUGAGGAAAGUUGCCAGGAUAAAUAUGUGAAGAAGAAGGGAGGUGUGGAGGGUGUUGAUGCAUUAAUGCAUUGUUGCACUGAGGCACUGUGGGUUCUCCCAUGAGUUGCUGUUUGAGCCAUUGAUUCUCAUGGAGAUGCUCUGGUCCUCACAUGGAGCAUUGCUUCCUGGCUCCAGAGAGGAAGACAUGUGCCACUUGGUCUCUAGGAUGACCUCAACACACUGCUUCCUCGAAUAUACCCGACUGUGCUUAUCAUCGGAGGAGCUCGGGGCUUCUGUAUCACUGAGGAUGGCUGUGGUGCCUUUCGGACAGUCCCGCUCUUUGAUGUGAGUGUGACUUCUCUGCUCCAGCAUAGAACCCUCAUCCCACUAGCACAGCUCCUUCACCUUGCUGGCAUAGACUUUCUGGCUUCCACCACUGACCCUUUGGUCUUCCCAGCACGGAUCCAUAAAAGAGACUGGUGUGAGUCCUUCUUGUGGGCUCUGGACCUCCAUUUGGACUCAUGGGAGACAUUGUCAUGAACUCUGGGUUUUUAUCUGGACUCAUGUGAGACGUUACUGUGGGAUUUAGGCUCUUGACUAAAUAAUCUAUGUCUUUGGUGUUGCCGAUAGAUUUCCUGCAUUUUCUUGUGUUAACUCCCAGUGACCAUUAUAAAAAUAAUAUUAUAAACUCCAUGUCCUGAUUCUAAUUGUUCACACAACCCCUAACUACAACAAUACUCUACAUAGAAGACCCCCAAAACUCCAUUGAAAGAUUCCUAGAUACAAUAAAUAAAUUCAGCAAUGUAGCUGGAUAUAAAAUUAAUAUUCAAAAAUCAAUAGCAUUUCUAUAUACUAACAAUAAAUUCAUGGAGAGAGAAAUAAGAGAAGCCACACCCUUCACACUAAUCCAAACAAAUGAAAUACUUAGGAAUUAACCUUAGGAAAGAAGUAAAAGAUCUAUACAGGGAAAAUUCUAAUACCCUGAAAAAAUAAAUUGAAGAUGAUCUCAGAAAAUGGAAAGACAUCCUUUGUUCAUGGGUAGGAAGAAUAAAUAUUGUGAAAAAGGUCAUUUUUCAAAAACUGGUAUACAGAUUCAAUGCAAAAUCUCAAUGAAAAUAUCAUCAACAUACCUCAUAGAUCUAGAGAAAUCACUCCUAAAAUUCAUCUGGAACCAGAAGAGAUCUAGAAAGCAAAGGCAAUUCUAAGCAGCAAAGGCAAGGCAGGAGGCAUCACAAUCCCUGUCUUGAAGUUUUACUACAAAGCUACUGUAUAAAAUCAGCAUGGUACUGGAAUAAAAACAGAUCUGAAGAUCAGUGGAAUAGAUUAGAAGAGACAACCACAACUACAAACACACUCAACCACCUUAUCUUUGAUAAAGGGGCCAAACAUGUUCACUGGAAGAACUACAGUCUCUUUAAUAAAUGGUGCUGGAAAAACUGGCUCUCCAUUUGCGGAAAACUAAAACUACACUCAUGCCUAUCACUAUUUACUAAACUAAAAUCUAAAUAGAUCAAAGAUCUGAAUAUUAAAACAGAAACAUUAAGUCUGUUGGAAGACAAAUUAGGUAGAAAUCUUGAAGACAUAGGGGUAGGCAGAGAAUUCAUAAACAGGAAUCAAACUGCAUGGGAAAUACUUCCCAGAAUCAAUAACUGGUAUCACAUCUUAUUAAAAAUUUCUGCAUGUCAAAAAAGCCCACAAACUGGGAAACAAUCUUCAUGAACUGCCCCUUAGUGAACACAGACAAAGGACUUCUGUCUAAAACAUAUAGAGAAUUAAAAAAAAUCAGACCCUCUAAUUUCAAAGGUCCAAUCCAAAAA
Molecule: long non-coding RNA, 4416 nt
Organism: Cavia porcellus (domestic guinea pig)
Lineage: Eukaryota; Metazoa; Chordata; Mammalia; Rodentia; Caviidae
Exons: 2
Source: RefSeq, a predicted model, not a curated record